This 468-nucleotide ribosomal RNA is filed under the name uncultured bacterium. RNAcentral's name for it is "partial 16S ribosomal RNA". It matches the Rfam family "Bacterial small subunit ribosomal RNA", at positions 28 to 507 of the family's 1533-position model. The record is from RNAcentral.
GACGAACGCUGGCGGCGUGCUUAACACAUGCAAGUCGAACGGAAAGGCCCUGAGUUUGCGGGGCGCUCGAGAGGCGAACGGGUGAGUAAAACGUGAGUAACCUGCCCUUGACAGUGGGAUAAAUUCAGGAAACAGGGGCUAAUACCGGAUAGGAGCUACUGCAGCGUGGUGGGGGUUGGAAAGAUUCGGCGGUUGGGGAUGGACUCGCUGGUUAUCAGCUUGUUUGUGGGGUAGGGGAUUACAAAGGCUUUGACGGGUAGCCGGCCUGGGAGGGCGACCGGCCACCUUGGGCCUGCGGUACGGCCCAGAAUCCAACGGGACGCAGCGGGGGAGAAUAUUGCACAACGGGCCGGAGCCUGAGACAGCAACGCCGCGUGCGGAAUAACGGCCUUCGGGUUGUAAACAACUUUCGCCUGUGACGAAGCGUGAGUGACGGUACUGGGUAAAGAAGCACCGGCUAACUACGUG